CCUACGGGAGGCAGCAGUAAGGAAUAUUGCGCAAUGGGCGACAGCCUGACGCAGCGACGCCGCGUGGGGGAUGAAGGUCUUCGGAUUGUAAACCCCUUUCGGCAGGGAAGAGGGAACGGGGCAACCCGUUCGGACGGUACCUGCAGAAGCAGCCACGGCUAACUUCGUGCCAGCAGCCGCGGUAAUACGAAGGUGGCAAGCGUUGUUCGGAUUCACUGGGCGUACAGGGAGCGUAGGCGGUUGGGUAAGCCCUCCGUGAAAUCUCCGGGCCUAACCCGGAAAGGGCAGAGGGGACUGCUCGGCUUGAGGACGGGAGAGGAGCGCGGAAUUCCCGGUGUAGCGGUGAAAUGCGUAGAGAUCGGGAGGAAGGCCGGUGGCGAAGGCGGCGCUCUGGAACGUUUCUGACGCUGAGGCUCGAAAGCGUGGGGAGCAAACAGGAU
Molecule: ribosomal RNA, 440 nt
Filed under: uncultured bacterium
Lineage: Bacteria
Description: bacterial SSU rRNA
Rfam family: Bacterial small subunit ribosomal RNA
Source: RNAcentral